GUCUACGGCCACGCCACCCUGAACAAGCCCGAUCCCGUCUGAUCUCGGAAGCUAAGCAGGGUCAGGCCUGGUUAGUACUUCGAUGGGAGACCACCUAGGAAGACCAGGUGCUGUAGGUG
RNAcentral lists this ribosomal RNA (119 nucleotides) under Pteropus alecto (black flying fox). The record is from RNAcentral. Lineage: Eukaryota; Metazoa; Chordata; Mammalia; Chiroptera; Pteropodidae.